This 112-nucleotide non-coding RNA is filed under the name chicken gut metagenome. Its description in RNAcentral is "SAM riboswitch (S box leader)". It matches the Rfam family "SAM riboswitch aptamer (S box leader)". Rfam says of the family: The SAM riboswitch is found upstream of a number of genes which code for proteins involved in methionine or cysteine biosynthesis in Gram-positive bacteria. The SAM riboswitch acts at the level of transcription termination control. The predicted structure consists of a complex stem-loop region followed by a single stem loop terminator region. The record is from RNAcentral.
CUUAUCCAGAGUGGCGGAGGUACAGGACCUGUGAAACCACGGCAACCACCUGACCCGUUUGGGGCAGGAACGGUGCCAAUUCCUACGACGUGUAUGCGAUCGAAAGAUGAGG